AAAGUCGUAACAAGGUUUCCGUAGGUGAACCUGCGGAAGGAUCAUUAAAAGAUAUGGCAUAUUCCAUGUGGAUAUACCCAAUCAACCCAUUCUGAGUACCUUACCUGUUGCUUUCACACAGUGUCUUGCAAUUUAUUUGUAUAGACAUCCAAACCAACAUUAAUUUAUUGGCUUUGGACAUGUGUGAAAGGUAUACAUUAAACUCUUGCAUUACCAUGUAUUCUGUCUGAUAAUGUUUAAUACAAAAUAUUAAAACUUUCAACAACGGAUCUCUUGGUUCUC
RNAcentral lists this unclassified non-coding RNA (282 nucleotides) under Ascomycota sp. RNAcentral describes it as "partial contains small subunit ribosomal RNA, internal transcribed spacer 1, and 5.8S ribosomal RNA". The stretch from base 1 to 47 matches the Rfam family "Eukaryotic small subunit ribosomal RNA", at positions 1785 to 1831 of the family's 1831-position model. The record is from RNAcentral. Lineage: Eukaryota; Fungi; Ascomycota.